UCAUGAUCACAUCUAGGCAACUAAUCAUGAAUCUAAAUCUUGAAAACUCCAAAACUCUUAUUUUGUGUGGUUGUGAGAUAUUAGUGGCAUGCGGGAUUUGAGAUUUCAAUUGGACAACCUCCACUACUAAAACGCCUGAUGCAUAUGGGUCCCAUCCGCCCCUACUUCCCUCCGGCGAUCGGCCCCACGUACUUGGUUACGUCGGAGGUCCCAUCCCUUGUCGUGCUUGUAUUUCAGCAAAUUAAAAGGUAUUGUAGAUGAUGUGUUUGAUGUUUUGCUUCAAUGACCAACUCUCCAUUCUUUUUUUCAUUUUUUUUUGUCUGAGGCCAACUUCCCAUUCACCCACCGAGACAAAGGCAGGUAAUUUUUUUCCCUUUUAAUAAAUAUAUUUUUAAUUAAACAGCUUUGGUGUUAAUUGCCAGUAACAGAAAAGAUAAUGGCACCAUUAGAGGCGAUUCAGUUGAUGAUGAAUAUGGAUUUAUAAACUGUGAUUUGUGAAGUUAAUUCUUAUUAUGCUAUUGCGGCUCUCACUUUGCACCUUUAUUCUCUUACUUUUAGUUAAAAAUCUCGCUUUGCUGAUAUUAUGGCUGAUAAAUUAGUUAACUGUUGUCUUUAUUAGAUUUUCCCAGGAUUAUCUUUGGUCGUCAUUUAUCUAACUUUUGCUGCGUCUUUUUGCAAUCUUGUAAUAAUAUAUAAUUGAAGAACAAUAUAAAAAGAAAGAACUUUUCUUCCAAGUUUGGGAUACCCAAAAGAUUUGCUGUUUAGAGAAUGUUGGAGCUCCCACAAUUAACACACGUGUUUGAGUUGUAAGAAUUCCUGUUCAUGAUGUACAAAUGCUAUCCUCCAUCAUAGCUAUUUGUGGUAGAUGAGUACGAGAAGGGAAGUAAUCAAAUUGAGGAUGGAUUCACACAAUCCCCCAAACCAAAUUAACAUCCUUGGCCUUGGGUAGUUGUAACUAUAUUGGAAAUUAGUGCAUCAUCACCUUGUUUUGUUAUUCCCUCUUUCUUUCUUUCUUUCCUUUUUCUAUAUCUUUUAACAAUAAUGAUCACAACAUUCUAC
RNAcentral lists this long non-coding RNA (1059 nucleotides) under Manihot esculenta (cassava). RNAcentral's name for it is "long non-coding RNA (MESC_LNC000490)". The record is from RNAcentral. Lineage: Eukaryota; Viridiplantae; Streptophyta; Magnoliopsida; Malpighiales; Euphorbiaceae.